Molecule: ribosomal RNA, 489 nt
Filed under: Salmonella enterica subsp. enterica serovar Infantis
Lineage: Bacteria; Pseudomonadati; Pseudomonadota; Gammaproteobacteria; Enterobacterales; Enterobacteriaceae
Also listed under: 9 other names
Description: partial 23S ribosomal RNA
Rfam family: Bacterial large subunit ribosomal RNA
Source: RNAcentral
AGACCCGAAACCCGGUGAUCUAGCCAUGGGCAGGUUGAAGGUUGGGUAACACUAACUGGAGGACCGAACCGACUAAUGUUGAAAAAUUAGCGGAUGACCUGUGGCUGGGGGUGAAAGGCCAAUCAAACCGGGAGAUAGCUGGUUCUCCCCGAAAGCUAUUUAGGUAGCGCCUCGUGAAUUCAUCUCCGGGGGUAGAGCACUGUUUCGGCUAGGGGGCCAUCCCGGCUUACCAACCCGAUGCAAACUGCGAAUACCGGAGAAUGUUAUCACGGGAGACACACGGCGGGUGCUAACGUCCGUCGUGAAGAGGGAAACAACCCAGACCGCCAGCUAAGGUCCCAAAGUCAUGGUUAAGUGGGAAACGAUGUGGGAAGGCCCAGACAGCCAGGAUGUUGGCUUAGAAGCAGCCAUCAUUUAAAGAAAGCGUAAUAGCUCACUGGUCGAGUCGGCCUGCGCGGAAGAUGUAACGGGGCUAAACCAUGCACCGAA